GACUUGUGCGUGCCGGAUGUGGCGAUCUGCGGUCAAAAGACCGUCGCGAUCCGCCCGUCCUGGCACCGUAAAAUUUGCAACUGGGUCGCCGCUGGCCUUAAUUGAUCGGCGGCGUCUGCUCGGUUGCUCGUUUACUGUGAGAAAAUUGGAGUGUUCAAGGCAGGCAUUAUUGCAACUGAACAUGUUAGCAUGGAAUAAUAAGAUAGGGCUCCGGCUUCAUUUUGUUGGUUUCUAGAGCGUGAGAGUAAUGAUUGAUAGGGACAGUUGGGGGUGCUAGUAUUCAGCGGCCAGAGGUGAAAUUCAUGGAUUCGCUGAAGACUGACUUAUGCGAAAGCAUU
Molecule: ribosomal RNA, 338 nt
Filed under: uncultured Sorosphaera
Lineage: Eukaryota; Endomyxa; Phytomyxea; Plasmodiophorida; Plasmodiophoridae
Description: SSU rRNA
Rfam family: Eukaryotic small subunit ribosomal RNA (bases 124-338)
Source: RNAcentral